This 2268-nucleotide long non-coding RNA is filed under the name Triticum aestivum (bread wheat). Its description in RNAcentral is "long non-coding RNA (TAES_LNC010612)". Lineage: Eukaryota; Viridiplantae; Streptophyta; Magnoliopsida; Poales; Poaceae. The record is from RNAcentral.
CCAGAUCUCUCCUCCAUGCUGAGCGAGUACGCCAGGUAGAGGCGGGCCAGAUCCCUCCUCCAUACUGUUCCAUCUCUCGAUGGCUCCCUGCCGUUUUGUGGGGGGCGUCCCAGUUUGAGGCGGACCAGAUCGGAGCUCGUCGGCAACCUCCUCCCCGUAAUGUGCUCUUCCCAGCCUCCCUUCUGAAGCUCCGGCAGCGGUGGGUUCGGCGGCAAGCCUGUGGUGGUCUCCUCGGUCCUUCCUGACCAGCCCGUGCGACGAGGUGGUCAAGUUUUAACUUUUACUGUAUUUGCUAGUAAAUUUGUUCUACAUCCUAAUUUUACUAUCAGGUAGAUUUGUGCUACAUUUCUCUAGUUCUAUUUUCUUGUUCAUGUGUCCCAGUUGUGAAUGAUGCAUUUUAACAACUCCGAUUUGAUGGUGCAUUGCUACUGUUCUAGGUGUUUUAGUACUCUAAUUUGAACGUUUUCUUUCACUGAUUAGUAUUCUGGAGGAUCAAGUUGGAAGGUUGAGGGCGGUUACAUAAUCUCAACGGCUUGAAGUUUAGGACAAUUCACUAAAAAGGUUAGUAUCUGCAGUUCCUUAUACAGAGUUAAUAGCUUGAAAAGAUGGAAAGAAAUUAAAUUGAUUCUGCUAGGAAAAAAAUGAAAUUGGACCAUAUGUUAGCAUAUCAAAAUUUUGAUUCAUGUAUACAUGAUUCACCGCUGAAAAAUGGAUCUAUUUUAACAGGGAAUAGUAAGAAGUGUCCCACUAUAUAUGAAUUAUGAUUCCCAAAGAUGGUGGCAUCGAGGGUCAACAAUUUAUGCAUCGGAAUACUGAGGGUCAACAAUUAGAAGUGUCGUAGUAUAUAUAUUCUGACUCAUAGACUGUUGCCGUAGUCUGCGUCUUUAUCUGAUCCUUGUGAGGAAGAUGAUCUCAUUUCUGACUUCACAAUUCUCAUCUCAGGACAAGUCAAACAAAACUCUCAUCUCAGGAUUCAAUAAUGGAGGGGAGCGGCACUACAUCGACAUUAGGAUAGCCCAUAGUUACAAUGGCCACAAAAAGUUACGAACAUCAGGUGAGAACAUCCGUCUAAGAAAGUUAAUAAUAUGUUGAUGUACCUAACAUUUUGUUAAUCCCUUGUGUGAUGUUGUUUCCUACAAAAUUGUUUUCAGUCAUUGAAUCGGUCAAUAGUGCUCAAAAUCAAGAUUUCAGCGAUGGUAGCUCGUUUGUACAGAUUAAUUCCCUGAUGCUUGUCAUUGAUGAUUCCGGUACACCGAAAGAAACAAUCGUUUUAUCAAGAGGUACACACACUUCUGAAUUUUAUGUAAUGUAACUUUUCACUUCUGUCCAUGUUCCAUGAUUUCAUUAAUAUUUUAUAAGAAACUAUACACCCUUAUCAUCUAUCAUGUCCAUGCCAAACCAUAGGCAUGGAACAAGUAGGUACUAAUGUGAACAACCGAUGAACCGAGAGAUUUCAUGGUUGAAACUACAAGGUCCUGUUAUGUUCUAUGAAUGUUCACAGCCUGUGUUUACGCCUGUUGGUCCUGUUGUGUUGUACUAGUUACUACAAAACAUAAUGUAAUGCAUGUCGUCAUUCUUUGUUUAGUACUAUUGAAUUAGAAUAAUAAUCUGCAUCUGCAGGACAGUCAUUAUACUGCCUUUUUGUUCGCUGCCAUUUUUUCGCAUUUCUAUUGAUGCUCUUUAGUGGUCCCUGAAACUUGUAAUAUGCUGAAUCUUAAGUGUAUGCAUGGCUGUUCACAUACUUUUUAGUGAACAUAUGCAUGUCUGUUCACAUACUGAAUCUUAAGUGGCCCUUCAAACUUGUAAUUUGCUCGAGGCUAUGUUAAAACUUCAUUGAGUAUGAACGUAUGACACUUACACGGACCUGUGCUAAUUGAAUUGUAUUUGUUUGGUUUGAUCUCUCCCAGCACACGAAGCUUGAUGAGCAGAAAGGACUAGAACUGAAGGCAAAAGCCUAUAGCUUUUCUGUUCUGUAACAUCAUUCAUGCCAAGUUGAUGCAGUUUCUAGUGGCACUGCUUCUUGAGUUGUGAUUUAUUUUAGUCAUUCAUAGUCAGUCUUGCCCAUGAUGUACCGCUUCUACAUGUAACACUUGAUAUGUAUGUAUGUAUGUAUGUAUGUCUCUUCUGUUGUUUCAUGGCUGUGAUCGUGCAGUUUGAAAUCUAUGUUUGCUUGAAGCGGAUGAAUUAAUGCUCAUGUACUCAAAGAUAUUUUUUAUGAUGCUCAUAUACUUUUUAGUAACCAACAUGUUCGUAUUUCUUGCAUGAUUU